CCUACGGGGGACUGCAGUGGGGAAUAUUGCACAAUGGGCGAAAGCCUGAUGCAGCAACGCCGCGUGAAGGAAGAAGGGUUUCGGCUCGUAAACUUCUAUCAACAGGGACGAAAGAAAUGACGGUACCGGAAUAAGAAGCAACGGCUAACUACGGGCCAGCAGCCGCGGUAAUACGUAGGGGGCAAGCGUUAUCCGGAAUUACUGGGUGUAACGGGUGAGUAGGCGGCCUGGUAAGCCAGAGGUGAAAGCCUGGGGCUUAACCCGAGGAUGGCAUUUGGAACUAUCAAGCUAGAGUCCAGGAGAGGCAAGCGGCCUUCCUCUUGUAGCGGUG
This 331-nucleotide ribosomal RNA is filed under the name uncultured bacterium. RNAcentral describes it as "partial 16S ribosomal RNA". It matches the Rfam family "Bacterial small subunit ribosomal RNA", at positions 338 to 683 of the family's 1533-position model. The record is from RNAcentral.